GAUGAAGAACGUAGCGAAAUGCGAUAAGUAAUGUGAAUUGCAGAAUUCAGUGAAUCAUCGAAUCUUUGAACGCACAUUGCGCCCUUUGGUAUUCCGAAGGGCAUGCCUGUUCGAGCGUCAUUAUAACCACUCAAGCUCUCGCUUGGUAUUGGGGUUCGCGGUCUCGCGGCCCCUAAAAUCAGUGGCGGUGCCUGUCGGCUCUACGCGUAGUAAUACUCCUCGCGAUUGAGUCCGGUAGGUGACUUGCCAGCAACCCCCAAAUUUUUCAGGUUGACCUCGGAUCAGGUAGGGAUACCCGCUGAACUUAAGCAUAUCAAUAAGCGGAGGA
RNAcentral lists this unclassified non-coding RNA (328 nucleotides) under soil metagenome. Its description in RNAcentral is "partial contains 5.8S ribosomal RNA, internal transcribed spacer 2, and large subunit ribosomal RNA". The stretch from base 1 to 120 matches the Rfam family "5.8S ribosomal RNA", at positions 35 to 154 of the family's 154-position model. The record is from RNAcentral.